This is a long non-coding RNA of Pleuronectes platessa (European plaice), 1454 nucleotides long. RefSeq lists it as uncharacterized. The transcript is spliced from 3 exons. NCBI's taxonomy places the organism in Eukaryota, Metazoa, Chordata, Actinopteri, Pleuronectiformes, Pleuronectidae. The record is from RefSeq and is a predicted model, not a curated record.
GAGUCAAAGAGGGUGGGUGACUGGUUUACUGCAAACAACCCAGUGUUAUUUUUUUUAAACCCUGACAACGGUACAGGCUGGUCAGAAAAACAGAAAGUGCCAAGUAGUAGAGAUUGUCUCUAUUUCAGUGAUGUCAAUCAUUUAGCCUGAAGUGCAGCAUUCCCCGUCACUGACUGACUGCAUUCUGAAGGCAGGUGAGCCAGUUUUGUUUUUCCCAUGAACAUGGUCAUGACUGUGUUAUCUUUUGUGAUGAGGCAGCAUCAAUGAUUAAUUUAUUUAUUGUUCUUACUUUCAAGGCCAAUCGCCGCUGGUUAAAUGUUUUGACGCGUGUGACGCGUAUCUUGAAACUAAAGUUAUGAUUAUUCCCAACAACGUACAAGACGUCACCGGUGUCAGUUCUUGUUUACAAGCUGGUCAGUAGCUCUUCUAAAGCCACUCCUCUGUGCACAGUUUGCAUAUGAGCCUUCAUCCCUCCGGGACUAUCUCCUGCUCAACACAUGGUAACACAACAGGUGCCUUGUAUCCAGAGCUGUACAGCAGUGUAUACUUUAUGUGUGUUUUCAUCCAUAGUGGACAUACUUGUCUAAAAUAUCACAUAUCCAGUGUGUUUUAGUUUUAAUUGUUUAAAGUGUUUUCAGUGUAAAGAGUUCAGAGACGUGUCAGACUACUUGUGGCUCACGUGUGUGUGUGUGUAGAUUGUUGCCAUAGUUGUGACCCCUUGGGAGGUCAUUAGCUGAUGUACCUUUAAGUUUAGCGCUGUACUCCGUCUUGUCAGACUGACUCCUCCUCACCAGCGUCCCCAGGUUGAAGUCACCUUUGGCCAUGUCAUCAGCCACUAUGGUGUCCGUCUUUCUCCUCUCCAGGUAACGCAGGAACACAGGCCGGUUCCUCCUCUUUAUCACCUUGUCCUUCUCUUUUUCCUUUUCCUUCUCACCCCCAAUGGCCUCCUUGGGAUCCAUGGUGAGCCCUGUGCCUCCAGACCAGUCAAGGAGAAGAGACGGGGGGCAAGAGAAGAGGGGACAGGAGAAAGAACGGAGAGCGACAGGGAGAGAAAAGAGAGCCUGGGAAGUGCAACAGGUGUAACGUGCACUGGCUGCCUGCUCUGCACAGAAUCAUAGUCUUUCUAGUAAUAACCCAUAAAGUGGCACUCGUGAAAUCCCCAAACUAGUUUGACUGGUAAGUCACUGACACAUGAUGAUUUCUGGUCAUGGCAACCAGAUACUGUGAGUCCCAGUCAGAACAAUGAAUGGAUGCAUUUCCUCCCUAUUGAAGCUCAGGUCAUGAGGGCUCACACUGUGUUCUCCGAUCCCUGUGUAGUGUGCUCACACAGCACACCUGUUUAACUACCACAUGCAUGUCUCACAGCGACAUAACAGCUGCUCCACACAAGACUAUAUCAAACAUUAGCAACAUUAUACAUUCAAUAAAAACAGACAGUAUCCAUUAUUAUUACU